RNAcentral lists this long non-coding RNA (1005 nucleotides) under Salmo salar (Atlantic salmon). RNAcentral describes it as "lncRNA (ENSSSAG00000096465.1)". The record is from RNAcentral. Lineage: Eukaryota; Metazoa; Chordata; Actinopteri; Salmoniformes; Salmonidae.
ACACACGCAUCCAUACACACACAUCAAUACACACACAUCCAUACACACACGCAUCCAUACACACACAUCCAUACACACACAUCCAUACACACACGCAUCCAUACACACGCAUCCAUACACACGCAUUCAUACACAAGCAUCCAUACACACACAUCCAUACACACACGCAUCCAUACACACACGCAUCCAUUCACUCCAUACACACACAUCCAUACACACACACACACAUCCAUACACACACACAUCCAAGCGUACACACACAUCCAUGCACACACGCAUCCAUACACACGCAUCAAUACACACACAUUCAUACACACACGCACAUACACACUCAUCCAUACACAUGCAUCCAUACACAUGCAUCCAUACACACGCAUCCAUACACACAUCCAUACACACACAUCCAUACACACAUGCAUCCAUACACACACAUCCAUACACACACAUCCAUACACACAUGCAUCCAUACACAAGCAUCCAUACACACGCAUCCAUACACACACGCAUCCAUACACACACAUCCAUACACACGCAUCCAUACACACGCAUCCAUACACACACAUCCAUACACACACAUCCACACACACAUGCAUCCAUACACAAGCAUCAUACACACACAUCCAUACGCACACACAUCCAUACACACACAUCAAUACACACACAUCCAUACACACACGCAUCCAUACACACACAUCCAUACACACACAUCCAUACACACACGCAUCCAUACACACGCAUCCAUACACACGCAUCCAUACACAAGCAUCCAUACACAAGCAUCCAUACACACACAUCCAUACACACACGCAUCCAUACACACACACACACACAUCCAAGCGUACACACACAUCCAUGCACACACGCAUCCAUACACACGCAUCAAUACACACACAUUCAUACACACACGCAUCUAUACACACUCAUCCAUACACAUGCAUCCAUACACAUGCAUCCAUACACACGCAUCCAUACACACAUCCAUACACACACAUCCAUACACACACG